GAUUAAGAGCAGCCAGGAUAGUCUAGGUAGGUGGGGAGGGGAAAUAAAAGAACCAGCACAUGGCUUGGGCAGCCAGGAAAAUGAGUCAAUUCAGCACAGCCUCACAGUGCUGGUGCCAGUAGGAUAUCCAUGGAGUUUGCAGAAAAAUACCAACACUACAUCUGAGUGGGAGUGACAGACCAGUGCCCAGUGGAGCUACAGGCACUGAACCAGAGGUGGGCAAGGUGUCAGGUGGGGGCUGGCAUGCUCUUGUGCUGCUUAAAUGGCCUGCACACUCCUGUCCUUCUGUAGUGUUCUGAGCCUGGUAGUGAAGCUCAAACAAAGCAAUAGUACUUAACCUGAACAAGACAACAUGACUAGUAAUAGAGCAUCACUGAGCCAUACUUUUAGUCUCAGGUAAACACAGCCAGUGAGACUAGCACUGAGUCACAGGAUGUAAAAUAGUUAUACAAACAAGUAUGCCACAAAACAGCAUCAAGACAUCCCACCUGAGGGAUACAGGACAUUUUCAUUGUUCUUGUGGUCUUUGUCAUUAAACUAUCCCAUAAAUAUUUCCUAAUGUGUGUUGCAGCAAGUAAUUAAUAUUAGCCAAGAUAUACUAGGACUAGACAAAAAUCUCUCUCACCCAAAAGGAUCCUGGUGAUACCAUAAGGAGGACAAAUUCCACCAAACGUGCUGCACUUGUGACAUAGGGUAGCAUUCUAUGUUAGCCUAGGAUAACACCUUAUUAAAUACUGCAGACCACUAUUAAUGCAACCAACCAAAUGCCAGCUAAUUGCACAUAAAAGUCUAUCACUUCAGCAGAGGACUUAUCCAGUCUGCUUUAACACCAUCACUGGGUGGUGAUGUUGUUUAACACCAUUCACAAAUGAAUAAAGGGCUCAUAAUGCUUGCAAUGUGUCCAGGACCUGGCACACUUAGUUUGUACUUAAGGAGCUAUUUCACAUCUUAAAAUGCUUGUGGGCUUCUAAAAACUAAACUGUGGAAACCAAGGCCUCAGCUGUAAGGCAAGUCUUGCUUCCUAAACCUGGUAACCCAUUUUUAAAUUAUGGUACUGCAAUUUCAAAAUUGAUUAGGAGCUUCAGAACAAAGCAUUUCUCUUUUAUGCUG
Molecule: long non-coding RNA, 1110 nt
Filed under: Ficedula albicollis (Collared flycatcher)
Lineage: Eukaryota; Metazoa; Chordata; Aves; Passeriformes; Muscicapidae
Description: lncRNA (ENSFALG00000024038.1)
Source: RNAcentral